CCUACGGUGGGCAGCAGUGAGGAAUAUUGGUCAAUGGGCGCGAGCCUGAACCAGCCAAGUCGCGUGAGGGAAGACGGUCCUAUGGAUUGUAAACCUCUUUUGUCGGGGAGCAAAAGACGCCACGCGUGGCGUUCCGAGAGUACCCGACGAACAAGCAUCGGCUAACUCCGUGCCCGCGGCAGCGGUAAUACGGAGGAUGCGAGCGUUAUCCGGAUUUAUUGGGUUUAAAGGGUGCGCAGGCGGAAGAUCAAGUCAGCGGUAAAAUUGUGAGGCUCAACCUCUUCGAGCCGUUGAAACUGGUUUUCUUGAGUGAGUGAGAAGUAUGCGGAAUGCGUGGUGUAGCGGUGAAAUGCAUAGAUAUCACGCAGAACUCCGAUUGCGAAGGCAGCAUACCGGCGCUCAACUGACGCUCAUGCACGAAAGUGUGGGUAUCGAACAGGAUGAGAUACCCUUGUAGGC
RNAcentral lists this ribosomal RNA (459 nucleotides) under uncultured bacterium. RNAcentral describes it as "partial 16S ribosomal RNA". It matches the Rfam family "Bacterial small subunit ribosomal RNA", at positions 338 to 795 of the family's 1533-position model. The record is from RNAcentral.